GCAUAUCAAUAAGCGGAGGAAAAGAAACCAACAGGGAUUGCCCCAGUAACGGCGAGUGAAGCGGCAACAGCUCAAAUUUGAAAUCUGGCUCCCUUGGGUGCCCGAGUUGUAAUUUGCAGAGGGUGCUUUGGCGUUGGCAGCGGCCUAAGUUCCUUGGAACAGGGCGUCAUAGAGGGUGAGAACCCCGUACGUGGCCGCCCGCCUUCGCCGUGUAAAGCCCCUUCGACGAGUCGAGUUGUUUGGGAAUGCAGCUCUAAAUGGGAGGUAAAUUCCUUCUAAAGCUAAAUACUGGCCAGAGACCGAUAGCGCACAAGUAGAGUGAUCGAAAGAUGAAAAGCACUUUGGAAAGAGAGUCAAACAGCACGUGAAAUUGUUGAAAGGGAAGCGCUUGCAGCCAGACUUGCCCGCGGUCGUUCUUCUUCCGCGGGCAGGCCAGCAUCAGUCUGGGCGGUCGGAUAAAGGCUCCGGGAAUGUAGCUCUCUUCGGGGAGUGUUAUAGCCCGGGGCGCCAUGCGGCCAGCUCGGACUGAGGUCCGCGCAUCUGCUAGGAUGCUGGCGUAAUGGCUGUAAGCGGCCCGUCUUGAAACACGGACCAAGGAGUCUAACAUCUAUGCGAGUGUUUGGGUGUCAAGCCCGGGCGCGCAAUGAAAGUGAACGGAGGUGGGAACCCCUCGGGGCGCACCAUCGACCGAUCCUGAUGUCUUCGGAUGGAUUUGAGUAAGAGCAUAGCUGUUGGGACCCGAAAGAUGGUGAACUAUGCCUGAAUAGGGUGAAGCCAGAGGAAACUCUGGUGGAGGCUCGCAGCGGUUCUGACGUGCAAAUCGAUCGUCAAAUUUGGGCAUAGGGGCGAAAGACUAAUCGAACUAUCUAGUAGCUGGUUCCUGCCGAA
This 888-nucleotide ribosomal RNA is filed under the name Anteaglonium parvulum. RNAcentral describes it as "LSU rRNA". It matches the Rfam family "Eukaryotic large subunit ribosomal RNA", at positions 38 to 965 of the family's 3401-position model. Lineage: Eukaryota; Fungi; Ascomycota; Dothideomycetes; Pleosporales; Anteagloniaceae. The record is from RNAcentral.